RNAcentral lists this ribosomal RNA (2932 nucleotides) under Enterobacter hormaechei subsp. steigerwaltii. Its description in RNAcentral is "bacterial LSU rRNA". It matches the Rfam family "Bacterial large subunit ribosomal RNA". Lineage: Bacteria; Pseudomonadati; Pseudomonadota; Gammaproteobacteria; Enterobacterales; Enterobacteriaceae. The record is from RNAcentral.
GGGUUGUGAGGUUAAGCGACUAAGCGUACACGGUGGAUGCCCUGGCAGUCAGAGGCGAUGAAGGACGUGCUAAUCUGCGAAAAGCGCCGGCGAGGUGAUAUGAACCUUUGACCCGGCGAUGUCCGAAUGGGGAAACCCAGUGCAAUCCGUUGCACUAUCGUUAACUGAAUACAUAGGUUAACGAGGCGAACCGGGGGAACUGAAACAUCUAAGUACCCCGAGGAAAAGAAAUCAACCGAGAUUCCCCCAGUAGCGGCGAGCGAACGGGGAGCAGCCCGGAGUCUGAAUCAGCUUGUGUGUUAGUGGAACGGUCUGGAAAGUCCGACGGUACAGGGUGAUAGUCCCGUACACGAAAGCACACAUGCUGUGAACUCGAAGAGUAGGGCGGGACACGUGGUAUCCUGUCUGAAUAUGGGGGGACCAUCCUCCAAGGCUAAAUACUCCUGACUGACCGAUAGUGAACCAGUACCGUGAGGGAAAGGCGAAAAGAACCCCGGCGAGGGGAGUGAAAAAGAACCUGAAACCGUGUACGUACAAGCAGUGGGAGCCUCUUUAUGGGGUGACUGCGUACCUUUUGUAUAAUGGGUCAGCGACUUAUAUUCUGUAGCAAGGUUAACCGUAUAGGGGAGCCGAAGGGAAACCGAGUCUUAACUGGGCGUUAAGUUGCAGGGUAUAGACCCGAAACCCGGUGAUCUAGCCAUGGGCAGGUUGAAGGUUGGGUAACACUAACUGGAGGACCGAACCGACUAAUGUUGAAAAAUUAGCGGAUGACCUGUGGCUGGGGGUGAAAGGCCAAUCAAACCGGGAGAUAGCUGGUUCUCCCCGAAAGCUAUUUAGGUAGCGCCUCGUGAACUCAUCUUCGGGGGUAGAGCACUGUUUCGGCUAGGGGGCCAUCCCGGCUUACCAACCCGAUGCAAACUACGAAUACCGAAGAAUGUUAUCACGGGAGACACACGGCGGGUGCUAACGUCCGUCGUGAAGAGGGAAACAACCCAGACCGCCAGCUAAGGUCCCAAAGUCAUGGUUAAGUGGGAAACGAUGUGGGAAGGCACAGACAGCCAGGAUGUUGGCUUAGAAGCAGCCAUCAUUUAAAGAAAGCGUAAUAGCUCACUGGUCGAGUCGGCCUGCGCGGAAGAUGUAACGGGGCUAAACCAUGCACCGAAGCUGCGGCAGCGACACUAUGUGUUGUUGGGUAGGGGAGCGUUCUGUAAGCCGUUGAAGGUGUGCUGUGAGGCAUGCUGGAGGUAUCAGAAGUGCGAAUGCUGACAUAAGUAACGAUAAAGCGGGUGAAAAGCCCGCUCGCCGGAAGACCAAGGGUUCCUGUCCAACGUUAAUCGGGGCAGGGUGAGUCGACCCCUAAGGCGAGGCCGAAAGGCGUAGUCGAUGGGAAACAGGUUAAUAUUCCUGUACUUGGUGUUACUGCGAAGGGGGGACGGAGAAGGCUAUGUCAGCCGGGCGACGGUUGUCCCGGUUUAAGCAUGUAGGCGGAGGUUCCAGGUAAAUCCGGUACCUUAUUAACGCUGAGGUGUGAUGACGAGGCACUACGGUGCUGAAGUGAUAAAUGCCCUGCUUCCAGGAAAAGCCUCUAAGCAUCAGGUAACACGAAAUCGUACCCCAAACCGACACAGGUGGUCAGGUAGAGAAUACCAAGGCGCUUGAGAGAACUCGGGUGAAGGAACUAGGCAAAAUGGUGCCGUAACUUCGGGAGAAGGCACGCUGAUAUGUAGGUGAAGCCCCUGCGGGCGGAGCUGAAAUCAGUCGAAGAUACCAGCUGGCUGCAACUGUUUAUUAAAAACACAGCACUGUGCAAACACGAAAGUGGACGUAUACGGUGUGACGCCUGCCCGGUGCCGGAAGGUUAAUUGAUGGGGUUAGCGGCAACGCGAAGCUCUUGAUCGAAGCCCCGGUAAACGGCGGCCGUAACUAUAACGGUCCUAAGGUAGCGAAAUUCCUUGUCGGGUAAGUUCCGACCUGCACGAAUGGCGUAAUGAUGGCCAGGCUGUCUCCACCCGAGACUCAGUGAAAUUGAACUCGCUGUGAAGAUGCAGUGUACCCGCGGCAAGACGGAAAGACCCCGUGAACCUUUACUAUAGCUUGACACUGAACACUGGUCCUUGAUGUGUAGGAUAGGUGGGAGGCUUUGAAGCGUGGACGCCAGUCUGCGUGGAGCCAACCUUGAAAUACCACCCUUUAAUGGCUGGUGUUCUAACGUAGACCCGUAAUCCGGGUUGCGGACAGUGUCUGGUGGGUAGUUUGACUGGGGCGGUCUCCUCCCAAAGAGUAACGGAGGAGCACGAAGGUUGGCUAAUCCUGGUCGGACAUCAGGAGGUUAGUGCAAUGGCAUAAGCCAGCUUGACUGCGAGCGUGACGGCGCGAGCAGGUGCGAAAGCAGGUCAUAGUGAUCCGGUGGUUCUGAAUGGAAGGGCCAUCGCUCAACGGAUAAAAGGUACUCCGGGGAUAACAGGCUGAUACCGCCCAAGAGUUCAUAUCGACGGCGGUGUUUGGCACCUCGAUGUCGGCUCAUCACAUCCUGGGGCUGAAGUAGGUCCCAAGGGUAUGGCUGUUCGCCAUUUAAAGUGGUACGCGAGCUGGGUUUAGAACGUCGUGAGACAGUUCGGUCCCUAUCUGCCGUGGGCGCUGGAGAAUUGAGGGGGGCUGCUCCUAGUACGAGAGGACCGGAGUGGACGCAUCACUGGUGUUCGGGUUGUCAUGCCAAUGGCACUGCCCGGUAGCUAAAUGCGGAAGAGAUAAGUGCUGAAAGCAUCUAAGCACGAAACUUGCCCCGAGAUGAGUUCUCCCUGAGACUUUAAGUCUCCUGAAGGAACGUUGAAGACGACGACGUUGAUAGGUCGGGUGUGUAAGCGCAGCGAUGCGUUGAGCUAACCGAUACUAAUGAACCGUGAGGCUUAACCUUACAACGCCGAAGGUGUUU